Molecule: long non-coding RNA, 1451 nt
Organism: Coregonus clupeaformis (lake whitefish)
Lineage: Eukaryota; Metazoa; Chordata; Actinopteri; Salmoniformes; Salmonidae
Exons: 2
Source: RefSeq, a predicted model, not a curated record
UUCCCCAUAUCCGGGGUACUCCUCCCGCAAUCUCAAACAAUGGCAUAGUACGGUUUUUAAACAUGUGUGAAUACCUGAAUGUUAUACACUACUGGAACGAGAAGCGUAUCAACUGUGAAUCUAGCUAAACUGUUGUUGCCCAAAUUAAAUAAUAUUCCGACUCCAAGCAAAUAUAUAAGCAUAUAGCAAAACCAGUACUGUAUUUUGAAACCGUGCAUGCCCGUAUAUUCGUAGACAGAUAACGUAUUUUUCUCAACCUAUCUACACAAACGAUACACCAUUCAAAAGCUGCUACCUCACAGAUUCCAACAGUGAUAGCCGUGUUCCUCUAUGACCAACACUCACUAAACUAUUAAUCAAAGAACAAACGUAAAUUUUUUUUAUCACAACAACCUUUGUUGUUUCUGUUACCAAAAGUAGUGUCUGAUCGAAUAAAACCACUUGAAAAGAUACUCUAGGGUCUCUCUCUCAUUCCGAGUCGAUUUCAAUGAGUUUCCAUCGUUUUACAUGGCCAACAAUGUGUUUGAAGAUGAAGUCAGUAGUUUGGUUCAAUCACAACAGGCACUGUUUUGUCGCCAUCUUCUGGAUAUAUGAUGCAAUCCCGGUGGUUUGUCAUUGUUCUCAUUUAAUUCUACAGAUCCAGAGCUUUCGAUAGAGGGGUCACAUGUCAAAAUCGACCAACCGGUUGUUGAAAUAUCCAGGUGCGCACCUCAUUGUCUCAUAUUAGUUGACUUGCUGCAUUACGCACGGUUACGCAGAGUGCACCACAACACUAGAAUUUCGGAGGUAAAACGCAAAGUUUAUUCAAAUAUGGCAGGCUCUAGUAACAAAUAUACAGUUACAGAGGCGUUAUUAAUUGUAACAGAUGAAAGUUGGACUCCAUGUAUCCCCAUUGACUCUGAAUGAGACGAUGAGGACCUGCUUAUACCGGACGAACCAGACCCCAACGACGAGAACGAAGGUUAUCGUGUCCAGGGCCCUACUCAAGCAUCAGAAGAUGAAGAUGAUUAUAGGGGUAUGAGCCACAGCCAGAGCAUCUGCCUCCUCAGCCACAGCUUCCCCUUCCUCAGGCAGAGCCUCCUCUUCCUCAGCCUGGCCGCUUGUCUAGACAACGCACUUCUGCUCCCCUCCCUCGGCCACGGUCUUCAUCGGACACUGAGUCCCCUGUAAAGAGCCCUCAACCCAAAAGAAAAUGAAAAGUUUUCUCAAAGUCAGCGCAUCCAAGUCAGCGUGGUGGAGGUAGGCCUGCCACUCCAAGAGUCGGGGAGGAAGAAGAGGAAGAAGAAGAUAGGUGGCAUAAUAGAGAAGAGAAAAAAGGGUCUACAUUUUGUGUGACAACCCACCCAAGGACACCAUAUCAUUGUUUAUAGUUUUGGGAUGUGUGUAAUUUUUUAUUUUAAAUGUGUUGUUUAUAGUUUCUAAUAAAUCUGCUCAGUUUGGAGUCAAACUUU